Camellia sinensis is the source of this 729-nucleotide non-coding RNA. NCBI's taxonomy places the organism in Eukaryota, Viridiplantae, Streptophyta, Magnoliopsida, Ericales, Theaceae. The record is from RefSeq and is a predicted model, not a curated record.
UUCUGCGAUUCAAAGAAAGAAACAUGAUUCAAACAGAGAUGAGACCAGUCAAACCAAGGAUUAGAAACUUUUUUUCUUUUUGACUAAAAUGUCUGAUUAAACAGAGACAAGAAAAGAUUAUUUGGUAUAAAAAGAAGGGGGAAACAAUAAAAUAGAGAAGAAAGACUGGAAGAGAAAGAUUGAUAGAAGAAAACCUGGCUGAGAUUGGAUUAGUGGUCUUAGAUUUUGAAGAUUGUUUGAAUUCGCUGCAAUGUUGGGUCUUCAGAUCUUAACCAUCUCCUCCCUUCUUUUUUUUUUUUUUUUGGUUUCUUUGUUUAUUGGAUUGGGUUGGAUAUAAAAAUGUAUUGGGUUUUUGGCUGUAGGCUCAGGAUUGGACUAAGGGAUUAGAUUGGGCUGAGUUAAUGGGUCGAGGUUCUUAAAUAUGGUUCGAGUUUAGGGUUAUAAGGAAUGUGUUGGUCCUGAGGGGUUCAUGUGAUACGCUGUAUAACCCUUUUCACUUCUUUACGCUGGUUUUAUCCUUCACUAUUGAAGGAAUAACUAUGACGAUGACGAUGAUAUUCAGAGUCAACAGUAAAGACAAAGCAGCGGCAGCAGCCAAUGAACUGACUGGGUUUCGCUGUGACAUUGAGAAGUAACGCAAUGGAGGUCACGAUGGUUUCUGGUGGCUGGUUCUGGAUUGUAGAAGAGGCAGUGAAGGUGUGACUUGAUGGUGACAGAUCACAAGUUUGC